Molecule: ribosomal RNA, 763 nt
Filed under: uncultured bacterium
Lineage: Bacteria
Description: bacterial SSU rRNA
Rfam family: Bacterial small subunit ribosomal RNA
Source: RNAcentral
CCCUUAGAGUUUGAUCAUGGCUCAGAUUGAACGCUGGCGGCAGGCCUAACACAUGCAAGUCGAGCGGAAACGAUCCUAGCUUGCUAGGAGGCGUCGAGCGGCGGACGGGUGAGUAACGCGUGAGAAUCUACCCAUGAGUGGGGGACAACCCGGGGAAACUCGGGCUAAUACCGCAUACGCCCUACGGGGUAAAGCAGGGGACCUUCGGGCCUUGCGCUGAUGGAUGAGCUCGCGUCGGAUUAGCUUGUUGGUGAGGUAAAGGCUCACCAAGGCGACGAUCCGUAGCUGGUCUGAGAGGAUGAUCAGCCACACCGGGACUGAGACACGGCCCGGACUCCUACGGGAGGCAGCAGUGGGGAAUCUUGGACAAUGGGGGCAACCCUGAUCCAGCCAUGCCGCGUGUGUGAAGAAGGCCUUCGGGUUGUAAAGCACUUUCAGCAGGGAGGAAGGCUUACCCCUAAUACGGGUGAGUACUUGACGUUACCUGCAGAAGAAGCACCGGCUAAUUUCGUGCCAGCAGCCGCGGUAAUACGAAAGGUGCAAGCGUUAAUCGGAAUUACUGGGCGUAAAGCGCGCGUAGGCGGUGUGUUAAGUCGGAUGUGAAAGCCCAGGGCUCAACCUUGGAAUUGCAUCCGAUACUGGCACGCUAGAGUGCAGUAGAGGGAGGUGGAAUUUCCGGUGUAGCGGUGAAAUGCGUAGAGAUCGGAAGGAACACCAGUGGCGAAGGCGGCCUCCUGGACUGACACUGACGCUGAGGUGCGAA